This 708-nucleotide ribosomal RNA is filed under the name uncultured bacterium. RNAcentral describes it as "bacterial SSU rRNA". It matches the Rfam family "Bacterial small subunit ribosomal RNA", at positions 8 to 722 of the family's 1533-position model. The record is from RNAcentral.
AGAGUUUGAUCAUGGCUCAGGACGAACGCUGGCGGCGUGCCUAAUGCAUGCAAGUCGAGCGACGCAUAUUCUCGGAGUAAUCCUUGGGUAUGACGGAGCGGCGAACGGGUGAGUAACACGUGAGCAACCUGCCCCGAAGACCGGGAUAGCCCGGGGAAACCCGGAUUAAUACCGGAUACCUUCACUUUUUUGCAUGAAAGAGUGAAGAAAGGCCUUUGUGCUUCGGGAUGGGCUCGCGGCCUAUCAGCUAGUUGGUGGGGUAAAGGCCUACCAAGGCAUCGACGGGUAGCUGGUCUGAGAGGACGAUCAGCCACACUGGGACUGAGACACGGCCCAGACUCCUACGGGAGGCAGCAGCAGGGAAUAUUGCGCAAUGGGCGAAAGCCUGACGCAGCAACGCCGCGUGGGGGAUGAAGGCCUUCGGGUUGUAAACCCCUUUCGGGAGGGAAGAAAAUGACGGUACCUCCUAAAGAAGCCCCGGCCAACUACGUGCCAGCAGCCGCGGUAAUACGUAGGGGGCAAGCGUUGUCCGGAAUCAUUGGGCGUAAAGAGCUCGUAGGCGGCUCAGUUAGUCGGCUGUGAAAGCCCGGGGCUCAACCCCGGAACUGCAGUCGAUACUGCUGUGGCUAGAGUCCGGUAGAGGAGAGUGGAAUUCCCGGUGUAGCGGUGGAAUGCGCAGAUAUCGGGAGGAACACCAGUAGCGAAGGC